UACGGGGGGGGCAAGCAUUGUUCGGAAUUACUGGGCGUAAAGGGCUCGUAGGCGGCCAACUAAGUCAGACGUGAAAUCCCUCGGCUUAACCGGGGAACUGCGUCUGAUACUGGAUGGCUUGAAUCCGGGAGAGGGAUGCGGAAUUCCAGGUGUAGCGGUGAAAUGCGUAGAUAUCUGGAGGAACACCGGUGGCGAAGGCGGCACCCUGGACCGGCAUUGACGCUGAGGAGCGAAAGCCUGGGGAGCAAACGGG
Molecule: ribosomal RNA, 253 nt
Filed under: uncultured bacterium
Lineage: Bacteria
Description: partial 16S ribosomal RNA
Rfam family: Bacterial small subunit ribosomal RNA
Source: RNAcentral